UCCUACUUCUUCACCCUCGCCUUAGGAAAACCAGCUCCUCUCUUUUGUAUUGUCUGUGCUGAAAGUUCAACUGAACCCCACCAUAACUCCAAAUUUUCCUUUCCGGUUGAUUUUGCUCCCUGGUACGCCAUCUCCCCUUUCCUCUGCUAUCCUAUGCUUAGAGUGACUCCUUGGGCCCGGGCCCCACCUGCCCUCAGGGACCCAUUUCUGCUCUGCACGGGGCCUGCCCAGCUGGACGCUUUAUACGUAAGUGCUUCUCAUUUCUUAUUCCCUGUCCUCAAAUCUUAGGAGUCAAAGAGCAUUGCAAGACUCGGAUUCCUUUCCUUCCUCUCAUGCGUAUGAGUCUCUGGGCCUGUGCCUUACUUGCUCAGUUAUGUCCGACUCUUUGUGAACCCAUAAACUGUAACCAUCCAGGCUCCUCUGUCCACGAAUUCUCCAGGCAAGACUCCUGGAGUCUCUAGCCAUUUCUUUAUUUGGAAUUAUCUUAUGAAAACAAUCUAGGCAUUAUUUUGAAUCAAGCUCAAAGGAAGCCCAGCUACCUGAAGGUACAGACACUCAGAUGGACAGACUCUGUCGUCGAUGGAGUAGCCGCCGUGGAGGUGGAGUAGCCGCCGUGGAGGUUAAGCGGCCCGUGUGAGGGUGAUGCUCUCUGCACACUCCGAUUAAGGAUUUGAAGAUCUGGUGGACCAUGCGUGUUAGGAGGGGUAAGAGUGGGGUAAGGAGGGUCUGGAAGGAAUCAUCCCUUGUGCUCUCCGAGUUGUGCUGAAAUCCAGAGAGAAAGCAAAGAAUCCUUCCAUCCCAAAACCA
Molecule: long non-coding RNA, 807 nt
Organism: Odocoileus virginianus texanus
Lineage: Eukaryota; Metazoa; Chordata; Mammalia; Artiodactyla; Cervidae
Source: RefSeq, a predicted model, not a curated record